This 1839-nucleotide unclassified non-coding RNA is filed under the name Hevea brasiliensis (rubber tree). Lineage: Eukaryota; Viridiplantae; Streptophyta; Magnoliopsida; Malpighiales; Euphorbiaceae. The record is from RNAcentral.
AAAAAAAAAAAAAAAGAAAAAUGAUUUAUUUAUUUUAAAAAAAUGAGAAAGAGUUGAAUUCUCCACCAACUUUGUUCUCGUCGAGUAAGUGAACUGUCUCUCCUCAUUCUCUCAACGGAUUUUCCAAAGCCUCUCUAUCUCUAACCAAAGAAUAAAUAAAACCACAACCCAAAGCAAGCUGAGUAGGCAAUCACUGCCAGACGACGAAGGAAAAAUUCUCUGAAGCGCAAGAGUGAGUGAAAAUGCAGGCAUCUACGUGUGCGGUUAAAGGGACCGCCACCAGCAUAAGCGUCGGUUCUCAGCCUCUUAACCGGAGGAGACUGCUCGCUGCGUGUGGCCUUUCCGGUGGUUAUAGGAAGAGUAGUUCAUUAUCGGUAUCAGUGUCGUCUUUUAAUAAUAACAGUUACAUGACUGGCAGGAUCAGUUUCUGUGGACUGCGUCCAGCCGAUUCGGUCUCCAUGGGAACCGAACUCGUGCGUACUGCCUUUUCUAGGUCCCGUCUGGUUAAGGCUCUGUCCUCCGAUGGAGAUAUCGAAGAAGCUGCUCCUAUCCAUCCUCAGACAAAAUCUUCUGGAAUUGUCUUGCCGUUCGUCGGUGUUGCUUGUUUGGGUGCAAUUUUAUUUGGAUAUCAUCUUGCGGUGGUGAAUGGUGCUCUUGAGUAUCUUGCCAAGGAUCUCGGAAUCGCUGAAAACACUGUUCUACAAGGAUGGAUCGUUAGCACGCUGCUUGCUGGUGCCACAGUUGGUUCUUUUACAGGGGGAGCAUUGGCGGACAAGUUUGGCAGGACAAGAACUUUUCAACUAGAUGCAAUUCCUCUCAUAAUUGGAGCAUUUCUCUGUACUACUGCACAGAGUGUACAGACUAUGAUAAUUGGUCGUCUUCUUGCUGGUAUUGGAAUUGGCAUAUCUUCAGCCAUUGUGCCUCUUUACAUAUCAGAGAUUUCACCAACUGAAAUUCGUGGUGCUCUGGGGUCUGUAAACCAACUUUUCAUUUGUAUUGGGAUUCUGUUGGCAUUAGUGGCUGGACUACCAUUAGCAGGAAACCCUUUAUGGUGGAGAACAAUGUUUGGCAUUGCUGCUCUCCCUGCUAUUCUAUUGGUUCUGGGAAUGGCAUUUUCUCCAGAAAGUCCUAGAUGGCUUUUUCAGGUUCUUCUGUGGGAUUUAAUCCCCUCAAUGGAGUCUUAGAAUAUUUUUAUGUGUUUCAUUGUAACUAAAUAUGGAUUAUUCAUUCAUUGAUAAACUGUUAUUGAUCAAACACAUUGUCUUGCAGCAAGGAAAAAUUUCUGAAGCGGAAAAGUCCAUAAGGACACUCUAUGGAAAAGAAAGAGUUGCUGAGAUUAUGCAAGAUUUAGCAGUUGGAGGUCAAGGUUCUGCAGAGCCAGAAGCAGGAUGGUUUGAUCUAUUUAGCAGCCGCUAUUGGACAGUUGUGAGUGUUGGUGUAGCACUUUUCUUUUUCCAGCAAAUGGCUGGGAUAAAUGCUGUGGUGUAUUAUUCUACUGCUGUGUUCCGCAGUGUUGGAAUUGCAUCUGAUGUUGCAGCAAGUGCUCUUGUUGGGGCAUCAAAUGUCUUUGGCACAACUGUGGCUUCAUCUUUAAUGGACAGACAAGGAAGAAAAAGUCUUCUAAUUACAAGCUUUCUGGGAAUGGCUGCUUCAAUGUUGCUGCUUUCUUUGUCCUUCACUUGGAAGGUCCUGGCACCAUAUUCUGGCACCCUUGCUGUUCUUGGGACUGUUUGGUAAGCUAGUGAUUUUCCUUGCUAGAUAAGUGGAAGCUCUUUUGGUGUUUGGAAUUUUAUCUUCUAAUGGCUUGUGAAAUCUAAAUGUCUUUUAUCUCAUAACGCA